This 1076-nucleotide long non-coding RNA is filed under the name Sus scrofa (pig). Its description in RNAcentral is "lncRNA (ENSSSCG00040010521.1)". Lineage: Eukaryota; Metazoa; Chordata; Mammalia; Artiodactyla; Suidae. The record is from RNAcentral.
GUCCUUCCUGGUCUUUUGUUAACUGAUCACCUGUCUGGGCACCAAGAAUUGACAGCUUCAACUGGAAAACUCAUUUAGGUGGAGUUCUGAGCAAGUCUGCUAAUGAUGAACUUCCUUCUUCAGUUCUUGACAGAAACCGUCUCCAGUGUUUCCAUUGCCUCAACGCAGCUCGGAGGACUUCUCUGCCCACUGUGGUCUGGCUCCCCCCCCUCCUCCCCGGCACCCACUCCUCCUGGAAGGGCUGCUCCUGCCAAGGUCGUCAACAACCUCCUUGCUCCAGACCAUGCCCAGCGCGCCUCCUUGGUCCGCACUGUCCUUGUCAUCCUGUCUCCGGGGACCAGCUCCCAGGCUCGGCUCCUGCCUCUGCACCGCCUCCCUCUCCAUCUCUGUUGCAGGCUCUCCUUCCCACCCCCGGCCUUGAACACAGCCCUCCUCUGCUUUUUCCCCAUCACAACGGGGCUAUUUCUCCUGUGUGUCGCAGGCACCGAAUUUCAUUAUGUCACAAGCGGAGCGAUGCCUCUCAUACCCCCACCCAUACCUGCCCAGACCUGAGAGCUGCUGUCCUAUGCUCCCCGCCCAGGAAAGCCACCAUCGUCCACAAGGGGGCUUGUCCCCUCCCCUCCCCCACCAUCCCCCACAAAUCGUUGCCCAGAGCUGCCCUUGACCUGUCAGAUCCCCUCACCUCUGCCUCCUUCCAUCCACCCCGGAUGCCACGAUUCCUGCCUGGAUUCCUGGAAGUGCCCCCUCACUAGUCUCCCUUCUCUCCAACCACUUCUCCAAACCACAGACCGAAUGCUCUUUCUAAAAUGAAAAUCUUGGAGUUCCCAUGGUGGCUCAGCAGGUGAAGAACCCAACAUAGUGUCCAUGAGGAUGCGGGUUCGAUUCCUGGCCUCGCUCAGUGGGUUAAGGAGUAGGCAUUGCUGCAAGCUGCAGUGUAGGUGGCAGAUGCUGCUGAGAUGCCAUUGCUGUGGCUGUGGCUAGGCUGGCAGCUGCAGCUCCCACUGACCCCUAGCCUAGGAACUUCCAUAUGCCGCAGGUUCAGCCCUUGAAAGAAAAAAUAAAAUAAUAAAAUAAAA